RNAcentral lists this long non-coding RNA (218 nucleotides) under Capsicum annuum. RNAcentral describes it as "long non-coding RNA (CANN_LNC012649)". Lineage: Eukaryota; Viridiplantae; Streptophyta; Magnoliopsida; Solanales; Solanaceae. The record is from RNAcentral.
GUCUGACAAUCCGCCUUGAGAAGAGUCUUGAUCAUCAGUGUGUAGCGCGCUACAUCUAUGAGUAAUAUGCUAUAAGACGCUCUAGGAAAAGUUGUUUCUUCUUUUAGAUUCGAUCGUGCCUAUAGUUUUCUCUUUUAUCUAAUGAUCUGUGUCUUCUAUUUUUUGGAAAUGCUUCCUAGAAGAGCGAAUGUCCAUAGAAACAAUGAUGAGAAACGCCC